UUACGUCCACAUCACAUUGAAACACCAGUCGCCGUUCGAUCACCAAAGUUAAGCAACGUCGAGUCUGGGCAGUACCUGGAUGAGUGACUGUAUGGGAAUACCAGGUGCUAUAA
Non-coding RNA from Acanthosepion pharaonis, 113 nucleotides. Lineage: Eukaryota; Metazoa; Mollusca; Cephalopoda; Sepiida; Sepiidae. The record is from the annotation of a GenBank genome assembly.